This 2834-nucleotide long non-coding RNA is filed under the name Hermetia illucens (black soldier fly). Its description in RNAcentral is "uncharacterized LOC119661450". The record is from RNAcentral. Lineage: Eukaryota; Metazoa; Arthropoda; Insecta; Diptera; Stratiomyidae.
UGCUGCUGUUGCCGAUUUUACUAUUGAUAGUAAUGAAAUUGCAAUUUCUUUUUUAUGCCUUUCAUAUAUUUGUGUAAUUCUCUUUUUUUAUUGUUACAAUGUUACUGACUCUUUAACAUUUGUUUAUCUUAUUUUUACAAUAGAUUAUCACACAUGCCAUUUUACAUAGUAUUAUUUUAUCCUUUGACAAUAUUAUUUCUAAAUUGUUUUUCUCCAAUACUUUAUGGUACUCGUGUAUUACACAAAAUGAUAAAUUUUAACAUUUUUCUCCCGACAUUUACUGUCAGCUCCAUAUUUAGUUUAUAUGUAAAAUUUCUUUUUCUAUUUGUUUCAAUAAGACAGGGUGUAUAUGUUGAUCCAUUCAUGGAAUCCAUUUUGAAUUGUAUGUUGCUCUCUCUACUGCCAAUAGUACUUUCUGCUAACAAAGUUUCCUUUUCUUUUUAUCUCAUAAACAACAACAUGGUGGGCUGAGUAGGUAUUUGUUUUUGGUAAUACUUUUUUCUGCUUUGUAUAUAUAAGUCCUUAUGGUUUCGUGUAUAACAACCAAUUGUUAAUGCUGAUGGUGUUGAAAGGGAGUGUUUGAAGGCAAAUUUAUAAUUAUAAACCUGGGACUCAUUUGGUUUGGAAUAUUUUAUUUAUAAUGAGUGGUUUAAUUUUCAAACAAAAUUUUCUGUAUUCGGCAUUCUCAGGCAUGUUUUUUUGGAGAAGAAAAAAUUAGACGAUAACGAACAAACAAAGCAUUCCCAUGCAGGUUUGGAAAGAAGACGAGAUUUCUUAGUGUUUGUGCGUUCAUUUAUAAUCAUGAUGUAAUUUCGUAAAUACCUUGUAGCCCCCUCAUUUUUAAAGAUUUUAUCUCAUUUUCCUAUUUUACGCUUUCAUCCAAUCGAUUCUGAAUUAUACAUUUCAUUUCAAUUAUUACAUAUUAUAGUUAGGAAAGCAAAUUAAAGGAACAUAGUAAUUGCGUUGCGGAACACUUCAUUGAUUACAAUUGUAUUUUUAUAUUUUUUAUAUUUCAGUAAAUUAAAACGAAGACAUCUCUGGAAAAGAUCACUUUUACUUCGCGUUUUCAUUUUUGAAGCAAGGAAGAAACGAAUAGAAGCACAAAAUUGUGCGAUACUAUUUUGAAUGUGAUACCACCGAAUGAGAGAUUCCAGAUAUUUCAGCAUUUUCAUAUGCAAAACACACACAGAAGUCUUAUCACAUACGUAUGAUUCAAUUCCAGGGGGAUGGGGUGUUAAUUUCAUGUUCUGUACAAGAUACUUCAUCAAUAGAUUGUGCUUGAAUUUUUUAUUUUAUGGGGACUACACACUCUUGGGCAGACAAAUAGUUUUAAGAUGGUCGCAAAAAUAUUCGUGCAUGUUUUCAGUGCAAUACUUAUGUUUAAUGCUGUUAAAUAUGUUUGUGAAGUCAUUGCUGUAACUAGUUUAUUAUUUCCUCAGAUGGAUAAAGUGAUUUGAUUAUAUUAUUUUCGCAUAUACUUGUUGUGAGAUUUAAUUUUUCUAUUAUUCCAUAUAUUAUAGGUUAAAGUUGUAUUAGAACGGGGAAGUUGCGCCAAUGGUUAUAAUAAUGAUUGAAUGUAGGCCUUGAAGUAUGUUAGAGCGCUUCAUUCAAGAAGUUAAUUAUUUUGGGUUUCUAAUCCACUACUCAGAAAGGACAAAAAUCUCACAUAAUGUGGUGGAUACUAUCACCUUAAAUUAGUACGGGGAUAAAUUCAGGACUGAAGUGGCGCCAUCUCAUAAAUACUUGAGUGAAAGGGAAAAAGGAUUCUCGUAGGUUCAGAUUAACUAAAUUAAUUUUACCGCCGAAAAGGACUGAAACUAGGACACCGCUAAAGGUGGAUGUACAAAUCAAUGUUACACGUAACAUGUACAUUAUUGGGUCCUCCAAUUGUGGGUAUUUGCACUUCAUGUACAUAGAGAAAAGGAAGCCCACUGGAUUUAAUCGAAUACUAGGAAAACAGGACAGGAUCUCUCUGUAACGAAGCCGAUCUGAGUUCCUUGAUCCAAUCGACUAUUUUUUUUACCUAGUGCACCGACAAAUCAAUAUUUGGACAAAAGAAUGCUAAUAUCAGUGUAAAGGUUUACUAUUACCCAAUGCAUUUGAAAUGAAUAAACGAGAGUUGAUAAAACUAAAAGUCACCUAAAAUUUUAAAUAAAGUAGCGCGAUUCUGAGUAAUUUACGAAUGGCUGUUCGUGAAAGACUUUCCUCUAGCAGCUUAUUCGGAUUACGUGAAAACAAAUAUUUGGCUGCAGUUACUAAUCGCUUGAAAAGAAAAUUUUUUUUUAGAUUUUCAGGAAAAGCUACGUGUCUCAGUGGUGCAGGUGUUAAAUGGUACCUGCGCUAUCUGAUGGAAGGCCUGAAACCAGAAGGCUAAGGAUAUACCUAAGCCAUCUCUACCGGAGCCGAGAAAGCGGGGAGCAGUAGAGAUCAGCCCGCAUGAAGGGAAUGCUCCCAAAAAAUCCAAACCUGAACCCAAGGGGGGAGAAAACCCGGGCAGGUCAGGGGUGAAGGCAGGACUCAGGAAGCCCACCAUUAGCUAGCUUAUGCGGUCAAAGGCAUUCGACUGGCCAUACUGCCAAAAAUGUUUCCGGUGCAAAUACUCACUUGUGAGGAGCAGGAAACCAUUCAGGGCCUUGUCGUCAGGCAGAUGUGCAAGGUAUGACUUCGAAAUAUAUGCCUUAUACUGGGGGACUGCGCCAGGGAAGGCACUGCAGAGUGGAUUAGAACCAUAGUUCUUAGAUUGCCAGAUUGGGAAAGGGUAGAACUGUCAGCAUGUGCUGGGGAUGAUAUACCAGGAGCCCACAUGGUGACAGUUUUUCUGCCAAAAGUCGCGA